CACGUAGGGUGCGAGCGUUGUCCGGAAUUAUUGGGCGUAAAGAGCUCGUAGGCGGUGUGUCGCGUCGGCCGUGAAAACCUGCAGCUUAACUGUGGGCUUGCGGUCGAUACGGGCAUCACUGGAGUUCGGCAGGGGAGACUGGAAUUCCUGGUGUAGCGGUGAAAUGCGCAGAUAUCAGGAGGAACACCAAUGGCGAAGGCAGCACUCUGGGCCGGUACUGACGCUGAGGAGCGAAAGCGUGGGGAGCAAACAGG
RNAcentral lists this ribosomal RNA (254 nucleotides) under uncultured bacterium. RNAcentral describes it as "partial 16S ribosomal RNA". It matches the Rfam family "Bacterial small subunit ribosomal RNA", at positions 524 to 776 of the family's 1533-position model. The record is from RNAcentral.